AUCGCUUCUCGGCCUUUUGGCUAAGAUCAAGUGUAGUAUAAGCCACAAACGCCUUUCUUGUCACGAAACUGAGGCAACAGAAAUCUUUCGUCCUGUAUACUCUUUCCUUUUUUUGGUUAUUUUUGUCGUGGCUAUGAGAAAAUAACCGAAGCACUA
This is a small nuclear RNA of 156 nucleotides. Its record names the gene U2. It matches the Rfam family "U2 spliceosomal RNA". From Rfam's summary of the family: U2 is a small nuclear RNA (snRNA) component of the spliceosome (involved in pre-mRNA splicing). The record is from Ensembl.